This 253-nucleotide ribosomal RNA is filed under the name uncultured bacterium. RNAcentral's name for it is "partial 16S ribosomal RNA". It matches the Rfam family "Bacterial small subunit ribosomal RNA", at positions 524 to 776 of the family's 1533-position model. The record is from RNAcentral.
UACGUAGGGGGCAAGCGUUGUCCGGAUUUAUUGGGCGUAAAGAGCGUGUAGGCGGCCUGAUAGGUCGGUUGUGAAAACUGGAGGCUUAACCUUCAGACGUCGGCCGAAACCAUCUGGCUAGAGUCCGGAAGAGGAGAGUGGAAUUCCUGGUGUAGCGGUGAAAUGCGCAGAUAUCAGGAAGAACACCCGUGGCUAAGGCGGUUCUCUGGGCCUGUACUGACGCUGAGGAGCGAAAGCGUGGGGAGCGAACAGG